This 693-nucleotide ribosomal RNA is filed under the name uncultured bacterium. RNAcentral's name for it is "bacterial SSU rRNA". It matches the Rfam family "Bacterial small subunit ribosomal RNA", at positions 1 to 698 of the family's 1533-position model. The record is from RNAcentral.
CCCUUAGAGUUUGAUCCUGGCUCAGAACGAACGUUGGCGGCGUGGAUUAGGCAUGCAAGUCGAACGAAUCCCACUCGUGUAGCAAUACACGGGUGGGGGAAGUGGCGAAAGGGGCAGUAAGGCGUGGGUAACCUACCCCGGGGACGCGGAUAGCCGUUCUAACGGACGGGUAAACCGUGGCGAUUCGACGAGGAGGCAUCUCCUUGUCGGGAAACAAAUUUUGCCUCGGGAGGGGCUCACGUGAUAUUAGCUAGUUGGUGAGGUAACGGCUCACCAAGGCGAAGAUGUCUAGCGGGUGUGAGAGCACGACCCGCGCCACUGGCACUGAGACACUGGCCAGACACCUACGGGUGGCUGCAGUCGAGGAUCUUUGGCAAUGGGCGCAAGCCUGACCAAGCGACGCCGCGUGUGCGAUGAAGGCCUUCGGGUUGUAAAGCACUGUCGAGGGGGAUAAAGGCGCAAGCUUGAUUGAUCCCUGGAGGAAGCACGGGCUAAGUUCGUGCCAGCAGCCGCGGUAAGACGAACCGUGCGAACGUUGUUCGGAAUCACUGGGCUUAAAGGGCGCGUAGGCGGCAGCGUUAGUCCGGGGUGAAAGCCCCCAGCUUAACUGGGGAAGGGCCUUGGAUACUGCGUUGCUCGAGGGAGGUAGGGGUCGAGGGAACUUCUGGUGGAGCGGUGAAAUGCGUUGAUAUC